Syngnathus acus (greater pipefish) is the source of this 1798-nucleotide long non-coding RNA. RefSeq lists it as uncharacterized. The record is from RefSeq and is a predicted model, not a curated record. Lineage: Eukaryota; Metazoa; Chordata; Actinopteri; Syngnathiformes; Syngnathidae. The transcript is spliced from 3 exons.
GUCGAAGGCAGCCAAGAAUCCUCUAGCGCAGCCCGUCCCCAUGGGCCAGAAAGGCUGCAAGCAACAAAGACAAAAAAACAAAAUAACUUACCAGUAAAAUUGGAGGGAAGUACCUUUAAAUCACAGGCUGUCGCCCACUAGCGUAACCAGCAGUUGAUGUCCAAACCUCUCCCUGACCAGAGCGGCGUUUUCCGAGGCGUGCAUGCUAGUGAAGUCGAACAUGGCUACGUCGGGCUGGCCGCAGUGGUUCAUGGCAAAGUCCAGCGUGGGAAGCUGGUAGUUGGUGCCAAAAUCAGCAGCCUCUCUGGCAUAGCACAGGAGAGCUUCCUGGUUGACGUUAUCGCUACUCAGCAGCCUCUGUGUCUCCACGUAAUCCUGUCAACCAACAAAGACAAUACCAGCCUCACCUUAGUUUAUUGCUUAUCCAAGUGUUUCUAUCUUUUACUGAGCCAAGUGACAUAUUGUACGUAAGAAACUCACAUUAAUGACAACUCCUUUAUCCAGCAGGCUCUGUUUCUUCGCAGUCAUGACAAAGUAGUGCGUGUUGUCCUUGUAGUACACAAUGUUUUCCAGGUCGAUGCCUGCGACAAAGACAGGUCUCCCAGAUCUCUUCUCUCCCACCUGUUUCUUCUUUGAGGUCAAGAAAGAACUUUUGAUUGAAGAUGAAGGCCACGCCACUAAUUUCCUCCACCUUGGCCUCCGCUGUCGUGUUCCUGUUGAUGAAGUUGGCGGUGAUGGCGAUUGCCAACUUGCCGCGAAAUUCUUUUCUUUUGAAACCUGCAAUUAAAAAAGCAAAGAGAAUGGUAUUGAAAAGAAAGGGAAACCAAACAAGAACUGUGGCGAGUCUUACAGGCAGUUGUUUCAGGGUCACAGGUGGUUCACUCAGCAAUGUGUAAUAUAUCGACGCAAACUAUUAACCAGCUAAGAAAAGUGAACACAUUCAAGGAAAAUAAAUGAAAAAUACCACAACUACUGUUAUCAAUUAAAAGAUUUUAAAAACUACAUUACACUUUGAAAGUCACAUUCUUUACAUUCACUUUAACAUUUGAGUGUGAAUUUCUGAGUCCAUUAAACUAAAGUAUGCUCCUUGGUGGGGGAAAUAAAAACAGGAUAUUCAUUAACUUGGAAAAAUGUUGACACCCAGUGAGUCACAUUUCAAAGGUUUUUGCACAUUCCACCGUUUUAGUCAGCACAUGAGAGGGAUACUUUGUCACCAAAAGUAAAAAUUGAACCAAAAACUUACAGCGUUUGAAAAUUGAGGCCAGGUUUCAUUGAAAACCAAAUAAUCUGCAAAAAUAGUUCUGGAUGUAUUUAAGGCUGCUUAGCUACAUUUAGCUCACCAAAAAACAUAGACCUGCCUCAGACUGACUCAUUUCCCCUGAGCUGCUUCAUAACGAAAGAAUGAGUCCAAAGGCUUGUUUUUGACCUUUUUAGGAAUAAGCUUCAGAUGUGUAUCGCUUGUUGCAAGCAACGACUUUGAGAGAGUCCAAAAAGAAUGAUGCAAAGUUAUGGAGAGACUCCAGCAGGCAUCAGCUGCUCCACUCAAGCCUGCCUCGAUUCUAUUUAUGUAUUGGGAUCCUUUGUGUUUUGACCUUUGUGACCACUGCAACCUCACACAGGCACACUUGGACUCUUUUACAUUUCUGAUGGGUAAACGGCUUAGUUGGUAGAAAAUUUAAAGAAUGCACACAAUGUAUUUUUUGGAAUGCUAUUUUAAUGUUUGAUAUUUUAAAAGGAAAAUGUAAAAUGUCAUUAAUUCUUUCUGGUCUCUGUUAAUAAAAUCGUUUGUGAUGUGCUA